AACGAACGCUGGCGGCAGGCCUAACACAUGCAAGUCGAACGUGAAGCCACCUUCGGGUGGUGGAAAGUGGCAGACGGGUGAGUAACGCGUGGGAAUCUACCCAAUGGUACGGAAUAACUCAGGGAAACUUGAGCUAAUACCGUAUGUGCCCGAAAGGGGAAAGAUUUAUCGCCAUUGGAUGAGCCCGCGUCUGAUUAGCUAGUUGGUGGGGUAAUGGCCCACCAAGGCGACGAUCAGUAGCUGGUCUGAGAGGAUGAUCAGCCACACUGGGACUGAGACACGGCCCAGACUCCUACGGGAGGCAGCAGUGGGGAAUAUUGGACAAUGGGCGCAAGCCUGUUCCAGCCAUGCCGCGUGAGUGAUGAAGGCCCUAGGGUUGUAAAGCUCUUUCGGCGGGGACGAUAAUGACGGUACCCGCAGAAGAAGCCCCGGCUAACUUCGUGCCAGCCGCCGCAGUAA
Molecule: ribosomal RNA, 459 nt
Filed under: uncultured bacterium
Lineage: Bacteria
Description: partial 16S ribosomal RNA
Rfam family: Bacterial small subunit ribosomal RNA
Source: RNAcentral